CCUACGGGAGGCAGCAGUGAGGAAUAUUGGUCAAUGGAGGGAACUCUGAACCAGCCAUGCCGCGUGCGGGAAGAAGGCCCUAUGGGUUGUAAACCGCUUUUGACCGGGAGUAAUAAGGGCCGUGCGCGGUCCGAUGAGAGUACCGGUGGAAUAAGCAUCGGCUAACUCCGUGCCAGCAGCCGCGGUAAU
This 189-nucleotide ribosomal RNA is filed under the name uncultured bacterium. RNAcentral's name for it is "partial 16S ribosomal RNA". It matches the Rfam family "Bacterial small subunit ribosomal RNA", at positions 338 to 524 of the family's 1533-position model. The record is from RNAcentral.